Molecule: unclassified non-coding RNA, 272 nt
Filed under: air metagenome
Description: partial contains small subunit ribosomal RNA, internal transcribed spacer 1, and 5.8S ribosomal RNA
Rfam family: Eukaryotic small subunit ribosomal RNA (bases 1-46)
Source: RNAcentral
AAGUCGUAACAAGGUUUCCGUAGGUGAACCUGCGGAAGGAUCAUUAUUGAAUAAACCUGAUGCAGUUGUGCUGGCUCUCUCGAGAGUAUGUGCACGCUCGUCAUCUUUAUAUUUCCACCUGUGCACCUUUUGUAGACCCAGGCGACUUGAGCAAUCGAGUCAAUUGGGCCUAUGUCUUAUCAUAUACCCCAUAGUAUGUCUCUGAAUGUAUCAAUGGGCUUUUUGAGCCUAUAAACAUUAUACAACUUUCAGCAACGGAUCUCUUGGCUCUC